CCCUGAGCUGGAAAUAGUUCCGUUAAUUAAAAUAAUCAGCACAAAGCAGCCCUCGUGCAGUCUGAACCCCCGGCCAUCUGCACAGAGGACUACAGUACCCAGAAGGCUUAGCGGGUACGGCGGACAGACAAGAGGAGGUCAAAACAAAACCGGCAAAAGCAGGAGGCGGACACAAGGACGUUCUCUGAUGGCCUCUCGUCUUCUCAGACUCACCUCCUGGUCCACUGCAGUCCUGGUCUCUUCUGGGUUUAUGUCUACAACCAACAGCUGGACCCCAACGACCUCAGUGUGAUCCGCUUUGGACGAGCUGCUGUGACUACGGCACUCAUCAGCUAUGCCUACAUGACUGCCUUCAGACAUGGGGAGUACGGAUCGAACUGUACUGGACCAUCAAGUCUGAGGUAGAGGGUCACCAACAACCACAGACAGAACCAUUAGAACCUGUAUGUGAUCCAUUAGAACCUGUAUGUGAUCCCAUUAGAACCUGUAUGGAUCCCAUUAGAACCGGUAUGGAUCCCAUUAGAGCCUGUAUGUGAUCCCAUUAGAACCUGUAUGUGAUCCAUUAGAACCUGUAUGUGAUCCCAUUAGAACCUGUAUGUGAUCCCAUUAGAGCCUGUAUGUGAUCCCAUUAGAACCCGUAUGUGAUCCCAUUAGAACCUGUAUGUGAUCCCUUAGAGCCUGUAUGUGAUCCCAUUAGAGCCUGUAUGUGAUCCUAUUAGAACCUGUAUGUGAUCCCAUUAGAGCCCGUAUGUGAUCCCAUUAGAACUGUAUGUGAUCCCAUUAGAGCCUGUAUGUGAUCCCAUUAGAACCUGUAUGUGAUCCCAUUAGAACCUGUAUGUGAUCCCAUUAAGCCUGUAUGUGAUCCCAUUAGAGCCUGUAUGUGAUCCCAUUAGAGCCUGUAUGUGAUCC
Sphaeramia orbicularis (orbiculate cardinalfish) is the source of this 909-nucleotide long non-coding RNA. RefSeq lists it as uncharacterized. The record is from RefSeq and is a predicted model, not a curated record. Lineage: Eukaryota; Metazoa; Chordata; Actinopteri; Kurtiformes; Apogonidae. The transcript is spliced from 3 exons.